UCCGAAACAUAUUAUUAGUGAAUAUUAUAACAUAUUUUUUAAUUAUUAUGAAUGUAGAUAUGUCAUCUAAUCGUCGACGAAAUACAAAUCCUUCCAGACGAGCAAAUCCAAGUGAAAUUACAACUCCUCCUACAGAAACAACAGUACGGAACAAAGACAAGUACAAAUGGUCGCACAUCCAA
Molecule: non-coding RNA, 182 nt
Organism: Camelina sativa (false flax)
Lineage: Eukaryota; Viridiplantae; Streptophyta; Magnoliopsida; Brassicales; Brassicaceae
Source: RefSeq, a predicted model, not a curated record